GAUGAACGCUGGCGGCGUGCUUAACACAUGCAAGUCGAACGAGAAGUGAAGACGGAAACCUUCGGGCGGAAGGCUUUAUUUCGAGUGGCGGACGGGUGAGUAACGCGUGGGUAACCUGCCUCAUACAGGGGGAUAACAGUUGGAAACGACUGUUAAUACCGCAUAAGACCACAGCACCGCAUGGUGCGGGGGUAAAAACUCCGGUGGUAUGAGAUGGACCCGCGUUCGAUUAGCCAGUUGGCGGGGUAACGGCCCACCAAAGCGACGAUCGAUAGCCGAUCUGAGAGGAUGACCGGCCACAUUGGGACUGAGACACGGCCCAAACCCCUACGGGAGGCAGCAGUGGGGAAUAUUGCACAAUGGGGGAAACCCUGAUGCAGCGACGCCGCGUGAGUGAAGAAGUAUUUCGGUAUGUAAAGCUCUAUCAGCAGGGAAGAAAAUGACGGUACCUGAGUAAGAAGCCCCGGCUAACUACGUG
RNAcentral lists this ribosomal RNA (478 nucleotides) under uncultured bacterium. Its description in RNAcentral is "partial 16S ribosomal RNA". It matches the Rfam family "Bacterial small subunit ribosomal RNA", at positions 28 to 507 of the family's 1533-position model. The record is from RNAcentral.